Molecule: long non-coding RNA, 1288 nt
Organism: Peromyscus eremicus (cactus mouse)
Lineage: Eukaryota; Metazoa; Chordata; Mammalia; Rodentia; Cricetidae
Exons: 2
Source: RefSeq, a predicted model, not a curated record
CACCAGCAAAGUCAGAGCCAAGCAGAGCAGCAGCUGACGCUUCUUCCCAGUCCCCUCCCACCAAAGGACACGCUAGAGGUGGUUUGUGCAGGGGCUGUGGGGGUCUCGAGUCGAGCUUUAGUCACUGACAUGUGGCUGGGAGCCACAGGCUGGCAGACUAGGCAACUGAAGCUAGACCAUGCGGGACGCUUCACCUAGUAGGAGGCUACUGAGAAGUCUACAGGUCUCCAGUUCACUUCCUCGACUGAUGUUUAAAGAUGCCACGUGCUGACCUCACCCUGGUUCUCACUACCCCACGCCGUAUGUGAUAAGGAGGCCCCACUCUGGUUAAGAUGGAAAUCACGUCUGGGAGAGUCGGUCCAGGGAUGCUCUAGGAAGUAACCAUUAAAAGGCAAGAGAAAGGACGCGUGGAACACAGAAUGGAUGCGGAAGCUCUGGGGUCACUCUGAGACAACAGAAUUGCUCUUGGGGGCAAAGUGCCGGGCACUGAUGGCGUGGGACUGAGACUUCGCCCGCGGGGUGGACGGGCCGGAAGCUGGGGCGCGGGGAGCCGCGCGGCCGGGGUGGGGGAGGUCUCGGCGAUCCGCGGCGGAGAAGGGCUGGGGCGCGGGCCACGGCGCUUACCUCCUGCACGCCGCCCUCGUGCUGCUGCGCCAUGGCCAGCAGCAUGCCGUCGAAGCGCUCCUCCUCCUGUUCCCCGCCCAUCGCGCUGCGCUCCGAGCUCCGCACUCGCGCUCUGCGAUGCCCGCGCUCCGCACGGUUCGCGUCGGGCCCAACGGUUCCCCUCGCCGGCCUUCCGCAGCGGAGCCGGAAACACGCACGGUCCCGGCCGCCCGGGCCCGCCCUUCCCUGCUCUCUUCCCGCCUCCCCGCCCAUCGGUGGCCAUUGAGCUCCCGGAACACAGCCCGCUUCACCGGUCAUUGGCUAACGGGAGGAGCAAAUCAACAGGCGCGACCCGAAAGUGGUGGGAGGGGCUUGCGGCCGCAGAGUUUGGUUUGAGUUGCUAUGGUCACCAGAUACCUGGGAGCCUUCUAGAAAGCUCCGACCGAGCUCACGUCCUUGAUAGGGCUGGUAGUUAGGAGAAGUUUUGAUCAAGCACUGCCUUCAGCCGUCUUUUCCUACGGGCGGCAGUUGAGACCCAGGAAGAAAGUGCUCACCAAAGGGACGACCUCCUCCAUCAUACUGGGCUAGGCUUUUGGAAAAGUGCACAAAACCGUAGUUUGCAUAGAGCCCCAGGCUUAGAAACUAUUUGCAGCUGGAUUAAUGCUCUUCCCUUACUGUCUGGAAA